CCUACGGGAGGCAGCAGUGGGGAAUAUUGGACAAUGGGCGAAAGCCUGAUCCAGCCAUGCCGCGUGUGUGAAGAAGGCCUUCGGGUUGUAAAGCACUUUCAGUGGGGAAGAAAGCCUUGGGGCUAAUACCCUCGAGGAAGGACAUCACCCACAGAAGAAGCACCGGCUAACUCCGUGCCAGCAGCCGCGGUAAUACGGAGGGUGCGAGCGUUAAUCGGAAUUACUGGGCGUAAAGCGCGCGUAGGCGGUCUGAUAAGCCGGUUGUGAAAGCCCCGGGCUCAACCUGGGAACGGCAUCCGGAACUGUCAGGCUAGAGUGUAGGAGAGGAAGGUAGAAUUCCCGGUGUAGCGGUGAAAUGCGUAGAGAUCGGAAGGAAUACCAGUGGCGAAGGCGGCCUUCUGAACUGACACUGACGCUGAGGUGCGAAAGCGUGGGUAGCAAACAGGAUUAGAUACCCGUGUAGUC
Molecule: ribosomal RNA, 465 nt
Filed under: Vreelandella stevensii
Lineage: Bacteria; Pseudomonadati; Pseudomonadota; Gammaproteobacteria; Oceanospirillales; Halomonadaceae
Description: partial 16S ribosomal RNA
Rfam family: Bacterial small subunit ribosomal RNA
Source: RNAcentral